AGUGAACGCUGGCGGUAGGCCUAACACAUGCAAGUUGAACGGCAGCACAGUAAGAGCUUGCCCUUACGGGUGGCGAGUGGCGGACGGGUGAGGAAUACAUCGGAAUCUACUUUUUCGUGGGGGAUAACGUAGGGAAACUUACGCUAAUACCGCAUACGACCUACGGGUGAAAGCAGGGGAUCUUCGGACCUUGCGCGAUUGAAUGAGCCGAUGUCGGAUUAGCUAGUUGGCGGGGUAAAGGCCCACCAAGGCGACGAUCCGUAGCUGGUCUGAGAGGAUGAUCAGCCACACUGGAACUGAGACACGGUCCAGACUCCUACGGGAGGCAGCAGUGGGGAAUAUUGGACAAAGGGCGCAAGCCUGAUCCAGCCAUACCGCGUGGGUGAAGAAGGCCUUCGGGUUGUAAAGCCCUUUUGUUGGGAAAGAAAAGCAGCAGGUUAAUACCCCGCUGUUCUGACGGUACCCAAAGAAUAAGCACCGGCUAACUUCGUG
RNAcentral lists this ribosomal RNA (492 nucleotides) under uncultured bacterium. RNAcentral's name for it is "partial 16S ribosomal RNA". It matches the Rfam family "Bacterial small subunit ribosomal RNA", at positions 29 to 507 of the family's 1533-position model. The record is from RNAcentral.